CAUUUCUUCCUAACACUGAACGGGAAUCUGACAUCUUCCACCUCCAAUAAUACUAUCUCAUCUAGCUUUUGUACUUCUGUGAUUGAAAUCAGCAUAUCAGUCUUCUCAAAGUUGUUUGCUCUUGACAAAUUUUCACCCAUCGACACCAGAGUGCCCCACUUUCCAGCAAUCCUUUUGAACGUUUCGUAAUUCCAGCAAUGCAUGGGUACCCCAGAUAUUUCAAUCCAUGUAACCUUCUCAGAGAACACCGUCUUUUCUGACCAAGAUAAUCCACCAAGUUAGGAAGCAGAAUCGGGAAAUUGGAGGGCUAGUCUCGGAUUGAAGAUAUAUAAAUAUUUUUUUUACAUAAUAUUAUUUAUAGUUCCUAUUUUUUGAGAACUUUAACAUCUUAUUCAAACUGUGGCACAAGAGUUAGUUUUGAGUUUAUUUAGGGCAUGCAUGGUAUUUUUAGGCUAUUAAAACUUGAGUUUUUAUUUUAUUUUAUAAUGCAUGAAACAUGAUUUUCAUUAAAA
Gossypium arboreum is the source of this 512-nucleotide long non-coding RNA. RefSeq lists it as uncharacterized. The transcript is spliced from 2 exons. Lineage: Eukaryota; Viridiplantae; Streptophyta; Magnoliopsida; Malvales; Malvaceae. The record is from RefSeq and is a predicted model, not a curated record.